AGAAUCAACGCUGGCGGCGUGCCUAACACAUGCAAGUCGAACGAGAAAGUGGAGCAAUCCAUGAGUAAAGUGGCGCACGGGUGAGUAACACGUGACUAACCUACCUUUUAGUGGGGGAUAACCUAGGGAAACCUGGGCUAAUACCGCAUAAUACCUACGGGUCAAAGCAGCAAUGCGCUGAUAGAGGGGUCGCGGCCGAUUAGCUAGUUGGCGGGGUAAUGGCCCACCAAGGCAGUGAUCGGUA
RNAcentral lists this ribosomal RNA (244 nucleotides) under uncultured bacterium. RNAcentral describes it as "partial small subunit ribosomal RNA". It matches the Rfam family "Bacterial small subunit ribosomal RNA", at positions 26 to 285 of the family's 1533-position model. The record is from RNAcentral.